Long non-coding RNA from Lacerta agilis (Sand lizard), 276 nucleotides. RefSeq lists it as uncharacterized. The transcript is spliced from 2 exons. NCBI's taxonomy places the organism in Eukaryota, Metazoa, Chordata, Lepidosauria, Squamata, Lacertidae. The record is from RefSeq and is a predicted model, not a curated record.
UCCCUUCAAACAUGAUUCUGUGCCAACUUAUUUUAGCAUAGGUCUCCAGGAAGGCAGCUCACGAUAUGAGAAUAAUAAAGCGCAGUGAGGUUUGGUACCUGCUAGAAGACUGAGAAUGGAGCACAGAGACAGGAUCUAGAGAUAUCUCCAAGUUUUGGAAUUGACCUCUGUUCAACUCCUGAUUAAGCACUGACAUAAUACAGUAUUGCUCUCAUUAUUGAGAACCAUUUCAGUGUGGCUUCAGGCCUGGUUUGGGCAGUGAAAUGACACCCUGAA